Molecule: transfer RNA, 65 nt
Filed under: Lamprotula caveata
Lineage: Eukaryota; Metazoa; Mollusca; Bivalvia; Unionida; Unionidae
Description: tRNA-Thr
Source: RNAcentral
UUUUAACUUAAACACAGUCACCAGACUUCACGGGCGCCUUAAUGAAGCUUUUCUACCAAGCAGUG